Molecule: RNase P RNA, 356 nt
Filed under: Deltaproteobacteria bacterium RIFOXYD12_FULL_57_12
Lineage: Bacteria; Deltaproteobacteria
Description: RNase P RNA component class A
Rfam family: Bacterial RNase P class A
About the family: Ribonuclease P (RNase P) is a ubiquitous endoribonuclease, found in archaea, bacteria and eukarya as well as chloroplasts and mitochondria.
Source: RNAcentral
UGGAGCGGGUGCAUGAUCGCUGGCCGUUUUUACGGUCAGAGGAAAGUCCGAACUCCGCAGGGCAGGGUGGUUCGUAACGCGAACCGGGAGCGAUUCCGGGAAAGUGCCACAGAAAACAUACCGCCGCAUGUCGGUAAGGGUGAAAAGGCGAGGUAAGAGCUCACCGCUUUCAUGGCGACAUGAAAGGCAGGGCAAACCCCACCCGGAGCAAGACCAAAUAGGAAAACGUCUGAGGGCUGCCCGUCCGAUGUUUUCGGGUAGGUCGCGUGAGGUGCCGGGCGACCGGCAUCCUAGAUAAAUGAUCAUGGCCCUGGUUUUCCAGGGUACAGAAUUCGGCUUAUAACCCGCUCCAAAUU